CGGCCGCGGUAUCCUGACCGUGCAAAGGUAGCAUAAUCAUUUGUUCCUUAAUUAGGGACUUGUAUGAAUGGCCCCACGAGGGUUUGACUGUCUCUUACUUUUAAUCAGUGRAAWUGACCUUCCCGUGAAGAGGCGGGAAUACAUAAAUAAGACGAGAAGACCCUAUGGAGCUUAAAUUAAUUUGUUCUGAACAACAAAUUUUGGUUGGGGUGACCUCGGAGUACAAAAGAACCUCCGAACUAAGACAUACUAGUCAAGGCCAAUCAUAUUGAUCAACGGAACAAGUUACCCUAGGGAUAACAGCGCAAUCCUAUUUGAGAGUUCAUAUCGACAAUAGGGUUUACGACCUCGAUGUUGGAUCAGGACACCCAAAUGGUGCAGCAGCU
RNAcentral lists this ribosomal RNA (386 nucleotides) under Crocidura nimbae. RNAcentral's name for it is "partial 16S ribosomal RNA". It matches the Rfam family "Bacterial large subunit ribosomal RNA", at positions 1928 to 2563 of the family's 2925-position model. Lineage: Eukaryota; Metazoa; Chordata; Mammalia; Eulipotyphla; Soricidae. The record is from RNAcentral.